GGCUCCCGGGCAGUUCAGAGAACACUGCCUUGCAUAUUCUUGGGCCAGAGGCAGACGGUCCUUGGUCAGCGUCCUGGCUAAUCUGGGGCCAAGGCUGCUUGGAAUGAGAUUUUGGCGACCCAAGUCCAAGGUCCAGAUCUGUUUCUAAGGACGUGGCCAGAAACUCAGCUUUAUUUUUCUGGCUAUUUUUGGAGGAACGAUGGCCUCUGCUGAAAGAGGCUUUAGGGUUUGGCCCUUUUGGGGAACACACUGUGAACGCCAGCUGGAUUGCAGUCCAGG
RNAcentral lists this long non-coding RNA (279 nucleotides) under Sus scrofa (pig). RNAcentral describes it as "lncRNA (ENSSSCG00015058458.1)". The record is from RNAcentral. Lineage: Eukaryota; Metazoa; Chordata; Mammalia; Artiodactyla; Suidae.